GAUCCUGGCUCAGGAUGAACGCUGGCGGCGUGCUUAACACAUGCAAGUCGAACGGAGCUUAGAAGGAAGCUUGCUUUCAUUUAAGCUUAGUGGCGGACGGGUGAGUAACGCGUGAGCAACCUGCCCUCGAGUGGGGAAUAACAUCGAGAAAUCGGUGCUAAUACCGCAUAAUGUCGAGAGACCGCAUGAUCUUUCGACCAAAGGAUUUAUUCGCUUGAGGAUGGGCUCGCGUCCGAUUAGCUAGUUGGUGAGGUAACGGCCCACCAAGGCUUCGAUCGGUAGCCGAACUGAGAGGUUGAUCGGCCACAUUGGGACUGAGACACGGCCCAGACUCCUACGGGAGGCAGCAGUGGGGAAUAUUGGGCAAUGGGCGAAAGCCUGACCCAGCAACGCCGCGUGAAGGAUGAAGGUCUUCGGAUUGUAAACCUCUGUCUUUGGUGAAGAAGGAAGUGACGGUAACCAAGGAGGAAGCCACGGCUAACUACGUGCC
This 490-nucleotide ribosomal RNA is filed under the name uncultured organism. RNAcentral describes it as "SSU rRNA". It matches the Rfam family "Bacterial small subunit ribosomal RNA", at positions 15 to 509 of the family's 1533-position model. The record is from RNAcentral.